This 371-nucleotide ribosomal RNA is filed under the name uncultured organism. RNAcentral describes it as "bacterial SSU rRNA". It matches the Rfam family "Bacterial small subunit ribosomal RNA", at positions 527 to 896 of the family's 1533-position model. The record is from RNAcentral.
CGGGGGGGCAAGCGUUGUUCGGAAUUACUGGGCGUAAAGGGCUCGUAGGCGGCCAACUAAGUCAGACGUGAAAUCCCCAGGCUCAACCUGGGAACUGCGUCUGAUACUGGAUGGCUUGAAUCCGGGAGAGGGAUGCAGAAUUCCAGGUGUAGCGGUGAAAUGCGUAGAUAUCUGGAGGAAUACCGGUGGCGAAGGCGGCAUCCUGGACCGGCAUCGACGCUGAGGAGCGAAAGCCAGGGGAGCAAACGGGAUUAGAUACCCCGGUAGUCCUGGCCCUAAACGAUGAAUGCUUGGUGUAACGGGUAUCGAUCCCUGUUGUGCCGAAGCUAACGCAUUAAGCAUUCCGCCUGGGGAGUACGGUCGCAAGGCUG